GGUGAACGCUGGCGGCGUGCCUAAUACAUGCAAGUCGAACGGAAGCACGGUAAGCUUUUGCCUCUACCGUUGGCGAGUGACGGGCGGGUGAGGCGUACAUCAGCAUCUUCUUUUUCUUGGGUAACAACGUAGGGACACAUACGAUACUACCUCAUAUGAUCUACCGGUGAGUUCAGUAGAUCUUCGCACUUUUCGCGACUGUUUUAGCUGAUGUCGCAUUAGCUAGUUGGUUGGGUAAAGGCACACCAAGGCGACGAUGCGUAGCGUAUCUGAGAGGGUGAUCGGCCACACUGGAACUGAGACACGGUCCAGACUCCUACGGGAGGCAGCAGUAGGGAAUAUUCGGCAAUGGGCGAAAGCCUGACGGAGCCACACCGCGUGGGUGAUGAAGGCCUUCGGGUCGUAAAACCCUGUUGUUAGGGAAGAACAAAUGUGGAAGUAUAUCUGGCCGUUCUGACGGUACCCAAUCAGAAAGCAACGGCUAACUACGUG
Molecule: ribosomal RNA, 492 nt
Filed under: uncultured bacterium
Lineage: Bacteria
Description: partial 16S ribosomal RNA
Rfam family: Bacterial small subunit ribosomal RNA
Source: RNAcentral